CCUACGGGCGGCUGCAGUGAGGAAUAUUGGUCAAUGGGCGCGAGCCUGAUCCAGCCACGUCGCGUGAAGGAUGACUGCUCUACGGGUUGUAAACUUCUUUUAUAAAGGAAUAAAGUGAGGCACGUGUGCCUUUUUGUCUGUACUUUAUGAAUAAGGAUCGGCUAACUACGUGCCAGCAGCCGCGGUAAUACGGAGGGUCCGAGCGUUAUCCGGAUGUAGUGGGUGUAAAGGGAGCGUAGAUGGGUUGUUAAGUCAGUUGUGAAAGUUUGCGGCUCAACCGUCAGAUUGCAAUUGAUACUGGCAGUCUGGAGUGCAGUUGAGGCAGGCGGAAUUCGUGGUGUAGCGGUGAAAUGCUUAGAUAUCACGAAGAACUCCGAUUGCGAAGGCAGCUUACUAAACUGCCACUGACAUUGAUGCUCGAAAGUGUGGGGAGCAAACAGGAUUAGAUACCCUUGUAGUC
This 460-nucleotide ribosomal RNA is filed under the name uncultured bacterium. Its description in RNAcentral is "partial 16S ribosomal RNA". It matches the Rfam family "Bacterial small subunit ribosomal RNA", at positions 338 to 795 of the family's 1533-position model. The record is from RNAcentral.